Cygnus olor (mute swan) is the source of this 2802-nucleotide long non-coding RNA. RefSeq lists it as uncharacterized. The transcript has 3 exons. The record is from RefSeq and is a predicted model, not a curated record. NCBI's taxonomy places the organism in Eukaryota, Metazoa, Chordata, Aves, Anseriformes, Anatidae.
UUUAACUGCUUGAUAUUUCUUUUAUAAGGGAAAUCCGCUAUACGUUCUCUUCCAGUUUUCUUGCAUCAAUCUUCAGCAUUGUAAAAUCUACUGGAAUAAUGUAAUAAAAGAUAUAUUUAUAUAACCAUAAGCAUCAGAGCACUAUAUUACAUCCAUGACACAUGAUUUUUAAAACCCUUCAUUUAUGACCAAAAUCCAAAUGGAAGAUAUCUGGGGAUCAGCAAGCAUUCAAACAGGAAAGUGCCAAAAAUCUGUAGUGGCAUGCAAAGGAAGAUACAUGCUGUUGUUCCAUGCUGCCGUUCCGGCUGACCAUGAAUGCCUAAGAAGCUCACUGUCCAUCUGAAACUUUCUGCUCCGUUUGAAAUUCACUGCUUUGUCGCUGUUAAUAAUUUUGACAUGAGAUUUCAAUGACCAAAAAUAUUAUGGCUUUACAGAUUUCAGUAUUGCUCAGUUUCAUCUUCCCAGGUACUCCAUCAAGUGACAUGAAUUAAUAGUAAAACUAUCACUGAAUGAUUAUAUGUGAUUUCUUUUCUGGUCAAUAAACUAAAUUGACUUGUAAACAUAUUCUGAUAUGGUUCUCCUGAAUUUAUGCACAGAACAAAAACCUGCGCAAUCCAGCCUGACUAGGUUCAUUAAUAAAGAAAAUUUUGUCUGUGUUGAUAUGGAAAGUCAAAAAGAAAGGCUUAAGUUAAUUAGCUUUGUUCUUUGGGUCAACUACCGUCUAGAUUUCUAGUUUUUUUUAUAUGCUUGUUAGUUUGUUUUGUCUUGUAUUGGUUUUAAGAAGCUCAAAAAUAUUAAAUAUCUAAACAUAAUACAUUUUUCAACUAACAGAAUUACCUGGACUGGACUAGAUUAAACUGAUUUCAUUUAGAACCUUCAUUUUCAUCAGAUGCAAAUCACUGCAUUUUUAUACCAAUUUUUUGUUUGAAUAAUCUGAAUAUUUUCUAGACUUUGUAAUGCUACAUCCUGGUCUCUGUAAUGCUUGGCUCUAGAGACAGAAAAAUAUAUCCACCUUUUGUUUGUAUGUUAUGCUGAAACUCAAUAACAAUUUUUCAGAACACUAGAAAUGUAGGGUUUUAUUGUAGCUGUCUUUUGGGGUUGCAAAUUGUUAACAUCUGCCUUUUAGUAUCAUUUUUUUACAAUAGUCUGCUCUCUAGAUAUCCUGUUAAUGACUCUAAUUUUCUAUUCAGCUGCUAUCUGUCAAGGUAGUUUAAAGGUCACUUUUUGCUAUGUAAUAGAGAACCUCAUGUAGAAAGUGGGUAGAAGCUCUUUACAGCUAACACAGCUUAUGCUUGGAUUUGCUUUGUGUUUGAAAACAGGGAGUUCAGCAGCCCCAGGCCACAUUGAGCUUUCAAUUUUAGCCUCCUUUGCUGUUUGAUCUGUGGUCAUACACUUUUUUUUUUUUUCCUAGCAACAAUUUGCUACUUCUUUUGUUAUCUCUGCUGCAUUCAUAGUACAUUUCUUAACUAAUCUGUAACUGGUAGCACUGGGAGAAAGCAGAGAUGCCAUAAAUUUCUCACACACCUCUCUCUUAGUGAACAACUUUUCUUAAGUUUUUAAAUCAAUUACAAAUGUCAUUGGAUGUAUGCAAUCUUUUCAGUGCUACUUACAAAUAUUAUGCCAGAAAGAAAAGGAACUUGAUUAUUUAUAGCUUUUUUAUAUACAUUGAAUUAAAUGUUUCAUGAGUGACUAAAUGUAUGUUUGGCCAUUUGCCUUGGAAACACCUGCCAUUCCCCCUACCCCAGGUAUUCAUUAGUAUGACUUAAAACUGAAAGAUUGUUUCUCCCUUGGCUAAAAUCACACAAAGAUAAUGAGAACAUAUUUAAACCCUUUUAGUGUAACAGCAGUCUUAUAUGAGGGAUGUGAUUCACAUAUGAGGCAUGUUUGGCUCUUGGAAUCAUGAUGCUAUCCCUUCUUUUGGAAGCUAAAAACAUCUUACCAAAUCACGGAAUUGCCGAGGUUGGGAGGGACCAUCUGACCCAAUCUGAUCAUGCUUCAGCAGACCCAGAGCAGGUUGUUCAGCGCCUUUUCCAGUCAGGUCUUUAAUAUCUCCCAGGAUGGAGACUCCACAACCUCUGGACAACCUGUCCUAAUAUUCAAUCUCUCUGACAGUAAAAAAGUUUCUUUCUUAUGUUUCAACAGAGUUUCCUCUAUUUCAAUGUAAUACAGAGUCACAAACAUUUACAGUUAUGCAUUAGGGUAAACCGUAGUCAUUAAUAAACCAGGUUCUAAAAUACAGAAGCUGAGAGCUGGAUGAUGUUUAUUCAGCAAAAUUAGUUCCUUUAGCCUUUUCAACUGUGGUUUAAACUAAUCCAUACGUCUUUGCUCUUCAGUGGAAUAGUAGAACUCAUCUGAUCCCACUGUCCAGGGACUGAGCUGUGAGAAGACUGCAUUUUGUAGAUGAAGGACAUGAUAUAUAAGCAAGAACAGUAUUUUGUGGGGUGUUUUGUUUGUUUGGCACAGCCACCUCCCUAAGGGUAUUUAUAGCUCUGAGUUCUACCUGGAAGAGCUGAGGCCUUACAGUUUGCCUUAUCCUCAGCACUUCAUGUUGUCAUCUUUGUCAAUCUUGCUAAUUUAGGUAAUGAAGUUUACCAGUUGGUAAAAACUUCCUUCAGUAUGCAAACUUUACAGUAAAUGCAGCUGCAUCAGUGAAGAACACAGGAGGCUUGCAAAACUUUGUGCAGGGUUCCACAAACCACCAGUCUAACAGAUGCCAGAGCCAGUACGAAGGCACAAACUCUUCGAGAAUUGAAUGACUGGACAAUCGGAGGGAGAUCUGUAACUUUUGAGUGAAUUCCUAAG